Molecule: ribosomal RNA, 435 nt
Filed under: uncultured archaeon
Lineage: Archaea
Description: bacterial SSU rRNA
Rfam family: Archaeal small subunit ribosomal RNA
Source: RNAcentral
GGACCUGACUCGCUAUCGGAUUGAUACUAAGCCAUGCGAGUCAUUGUAGCAAUACAAGGCAUACGGCUCAGUAACGCGUAGUCAACCUAACCUAUGGACGGGAAUAACCUCGGGAAACUGAGAAUAAUGCCCGAUAGAACAUUAUGCCUGGAAUGGUUUAUGUUCCAAAUGAUUUAUCGCCGUAGGAUGGGACUGCGGCCUAUCAGUUUGUUGGUGAGGUAAUGGCCCACCAAGACUAUUACAGGUACGGGCUCUGAGAGGAGUAGCCCGGAGAUGGGUACUGAGACACGGACCCAGGCCCUAUGGGGCGCAGCAGGCGAGAAAACUUUGCAAUGUGCGAAAGCACGACAAGGUUAAUCCGAGUGGUUUCUGCUAAAGAAACCUUUUGUCAGUCCUAGAAACACUGAUGAAUAAGGGGUGGGCAAGUUCUGGUGU